This 442-nucleotide ribosomal RNA is filed under the name uncultured bacterium. RNAcentral's name for it is "partial 16S ribosomal RNA". It matches the Rfam family "Bacterial small subunit ribosomal RNA", at positions 338 to 795 of the family's 1533-position model. The record is from RNAcentral.
CCUACGGGGGGCAGCAGUGAGGAAUAUUGGUCAAUGGGCGGAAGCCUGAACCAGCCAAGUAGCGUGAAGGAAGAAGGCUUUCGGGUUGUAAACUUCUUUUAAGGGGGAAGAGCAGAAGACGGUACCCCUUGAAUAAGCCACGGCUAACUACGUGCCAGCAGCCGCGGUAAUACGUAGGUGGCAAGCGUUGUCCGGAUUUACUGGGUGUAAAGGGCGUGCAGCCGGAGAGACAAGUCAGAUGUGAAAUCCACGGGCUCAACCCGUGAACUGCAUUUGAAACUGUUUCCCUUGAGUGUCGGAGAGGUAAUCGGAAUUCCUUGUGUAGCGGUGAAAUGCGUAGAUAUAAGGAAGAACACCAGUGGCGAAGGCGGAUUACUGGACGAUAACUGACGGUGAGGCGCGAAAGCGUGGGGAGCAAACAGGAUUAGAUACCCGGGUAGUC